This 468-nucleotide ribosomal RNA is filed under the name uncultured bacterium. RNAcentral's name for it is "partial 16S ribosomal RNA". It matches the Rfam family "Bacterial small subunit ribosomal RNA", at positions 28 to 507 of the family's 1533-position model. The record is from RNAcentral.
GACGAACGCUGGCGGCGUGCUUAACACAUGCAAGUCGAACGGAAAGGCCCUGCUUUUGUGGGGUGCUCGAGUGGCGAACGGGUGAGUAACACGUGAGUAACCUGCCCUUGACUUUGGGAUAACUUCAGGAAACUGGGGCUAAUACCGGAUAGGAGCUCCUGCUGCAUGGUGGGGGUUGGAAAGUUUCGGCGGUUGGGGAUGGACUCGCGGCUUAUCAGCUUGUGGGUGGGGUAGUGGCUUACCAAGGCUUUGACGGGUAGCCGGCCCGAGAGGGUGACCGGGGCACUUGGGCCUGCGGGACGACCCAGACGGCAACGUUCGGCAAUAGGGGGGAACCUGCUCCAGCGGUCCCGAGUUUGAUGCGGAAACCCUCUGUGCGUGAUGACGGCCUGUGUGGUGUAAAACGCGGUAGCCUGAUACCAAGCGGGAGUGACGGUACCGGCUGAAGAAGCACCGGCUAACUACGUG